Molecule: ribosomal RNA, 431 nt
Filed under: uncultured bacterium
Lineage: Bacteria
Description: partial 16S ribosomal RNA
Rfam family: Bacterial small subunit ribosomal RNA
Source: RNAcentral
AACGAACGCUGGCGGCAGGCUUAACACAUGCAAGUCGAGCGCCCCGACAGGGGGGCGGCAGUCGGGUGAGUACCGCGUGGGAACGGACCGUUGGGUUCAGAACAACUUAGGGAUACUGGGGCGAAAACGGGAGAAGACCUAACGGGGAAAGAUUUAUCUCCGACGGAUGGGAGCACGUCUGAUUAGCUAGUUGGGGAGGUAACGGCGCAGCAAGGGGACGAUCAGUAGGUGGUCUGAGAGGAUGAUCAGGCACACUGGGACUGAGACACGGGCCAGACUCCUACGGGAUGCAGCAGUGGCGAAUAUAGGACAACGGGCUCAAGCCUGAUGCACCCAUGCCGCUUGAGUGAUGUAGUCGUUAGAGUUGUAAAGCUCUUUUGUCCGGGAAGAUAAUGACGGUACCGGAAGAAUAAGCCCCGGCUAACUUCGUG